Molecule: ribosomal RNA, 868 nt
Filed under: Hypocreales sp. FY-2022b
Lineage: Eukaryota; Fungi; Ascomycota; Sordariomycetes; Hypocreales
Description: partial large subunit ribosomal RNA
Rfam family: Eukaryotic large subunit ribosomal RNA
Source: RNAcentral
GCAUAUCAAUAAGCGGAGGAAAAGAAACCAACAGGGAUUGCCUCAGUAACGGCGAGUGAAGCGGCAACAGCUCAAAUUUGAAAUCUGGCCCCCAGGGUCCGAGUUGUAAUUUGUAGAGGAUGCUUUUGGUGAGGUGCCUUCCGAGUUCCCUGGAACGGGACGCCAUAGAGGGUGAGAGCCCCGUCUGGUCGGACACCGAGCCUCUGUAAAGCUCCUUCGACGAGUCGAGUAGUUUGGGAAUGCUGCUCUAAAUGGGAGGUAUAUGUCUUCUAAAGCUAAAUAUUGGCCAGAGACCGAUAGCGCACAAGUAGAGUGAUCGAAAGAUGAAAAGCACUUUGAAAAGAGGGUUAAAAAGUACGUGAAAUUGUUGAAAGGGAAGCGCUCAUGACCAGACUUGGGCUUGGCGAAUCAUCCAGCGUUCUCGCUGGUGCACUUCGCCUCGUUCAGGCCAGCAUCAGUUUGUCCCGGGGGAUAAAAGCUUCGGGAACGUGGCUGCUUCGGCAGUGUUAUAGCCCGCUGCACAAUACCCUGGGGUGGACUGAGGUUCGCGCUCCGCAAGGAUGCUGGCGUAAUGGUCAUCAGCGACCCGUCUUGAAACACGGACCAAGGAGUCGUCUUCGUAUGCGAGUGUUCGGGUGUCAAACCCCUACGCGUAAUGAAAGUGAACGCAGGUGAGAGCUUCGGCGCAUCAUCGACCGAUCCUGAUGUUCUCGGAUGGAUUUGAGUAAGAGCAUACGGGGCCGGACCCGAAAGAAGGUGAACUAUGCCUGUAUAGGGUGAAGCCAGAGGAAACUCUGGUGGAGGCUCGCAGCGGUUCUGACGUGCAAAUCGAUCGUCAAAUAUGGGCAUGGGGGCGAAAGACUAAUCG